This 878-nucleotide ribosomal RNA is filed under the name uncultured fungus. RNAcentral's name for it is "eukaryotic LSU rRNA". The stretch from base 432 to 585 matches the Rfam family "5.8S ribosomal RNA". The record is from RNAcentral. Lineage: Eukaryota; Fungi.
UCUUGGUCAUUUAGAGGAAGUAAAAGUCGUAACAAGGUUUCCGUAGGUGAACCUGCGGAAGGAUCAUUAAAGAAAUUUAAUAAUUUUGAAAAUGGAUUUUUUUGUUUUGGCAAGAGCAUGAGAGCUUUUACUGGGCAAGAAGACAAGAGAUGGAGAGUCCAGCCGGGCCUGCGCUUAAGUGCGCGGUCUUGCUAGGCUUGUAAGUUUCUUUCUUGCUAUUCCAAACGGUGAGAGAUUUCUGUGCUUUUGUUAUAGGACAAUUAAAACCGUUUCAAUACAACACACUGUGAAGUUUUCAUAUCUUUGCAACUUUUUCUUUGGGCAUUCGAGCAAUCGGGGCCCAGAGGUAACAAACACAAACAAUUUUAUCUAUUCAUUAAAUUUUUGUCAAAAACAAGAACUUUCGUAACUGGAAAUUUUAAAAUGUUAAAAACUUUCAACAACGGAUCUCUUGGUUCUCGCAUCGAUGAAGAACGCAGCGAAAUGCGAUACGUAAUGUGAAUUGCAGAAUUCCGUGAAUCAUCGAAUCUUUGAACGCACAUUGCGCCCCUUGGUAUUCCAGGGGGCAUGCCUGUUUGAGCGUCAUUUCCUUCUCAAACAUUCUGUUUGGUAGUGAGUGAUACUCUUUGGAGUUAACUUGAAAUUGCUGGCCUUUUCAUUGGAUGUUUUUUUUCCAAAGAGAGGUUUCUCUGCGUGCUUGAGGUAUAAUGCAAGUACGGUCGUUUUAGGUUUUACCAACUGCGGCUAAUCUUUUUUUAUACUGAGCGUAUUGGAACGUUAUCGAUAAGAAGAGAGCGUCUAGGCGAACAAUGUUCUUAAAGUUUGACCUCAAAUCAGGUAGGAGUACCCGCUGAACUUAAGCAUAUCAAUAAGCGGAG